RNA transcript from Solanum dulcamara, 2795 nucleotides. RefSeq lists it as uncharacterized. NCBI's taxonomy places the organism in Eukaryota, Viridiplantae, Streptophyta, Magnoliopsida, Solanales, Solanaceae. The record is from RefSeq and is a predicted model, not a curated record. The transcript has 2 exons.
AAUCCAAAAAAUUCUAAAAAAAGAAUUCUUAAAAUUCGUGUUUUGACAGAGAAAUCAACAAGCAAAGUCGCUUUAUACAUAGAAAGUUCGAGAAAAAGUAAGAAAAUACAUGUUUAACAAUAAGUGUAUAAUGAUGUAAAUUUUGUAUCAACUUGUAUCUUGAAUGUGUAAUAAUGCAUAGGGGAAAUAAAAAUUAAAAAAAGAAAGAGAAGAAAAAGAAAUGAAGACCCAAGACCAGCAUUAAUCAAACUCAUAUCAAACCAACAUUCUGGAUUCAAGUUACUACAAACUUCUCCAACAAUUUUAAUUACACUCAGUAAAAACAAGCCAGAUUUUCAGAAAUUUUCUUAAAUUCAAACGAAGAAACUGAAAUUAAAAGGUGAAAAUCCCUUUUGAUUUUUCUCAUCGGAUAUUGCAAUCUAAACUAAAAAUUAGAACCGAGAAUACCUUUAUAUCUCCUUUUGAAUAUUAGGAAGUAAUUUUUUUUUAUCUAUUGUGUUUUGAAGCGGUUUUCGAUUUUGGUAUAUGUGGGGUUAAUAGUGUAAGAGAAGUGAAGAUCUGUUGGCCACAUGUACGGUAAUUGGUUUCACGAUGGCCCACGAUAGAACAAUGGUUAAAGAAGGACAACGACAAUGCUUAUGGUGGUAUUAUGGGUGAUUUUCUUGGUGACGAAGGAGGAAAAGAUGGUUGGCUGGUGGGUAUUGGUAGGUGGAAGUGGGGAAAUGAUGGAGAAGAAGGGAGAUCGACGAUGGCUUCAAGGGCUGUUUGUUAGCAGCUAGGGUUAAGAGAUUGUUUAAAGGGUGAUAUAAUUUUUACAUGUCAUUUAUCAUAUGGUCUAGUUUUGAUAGCAUUUCAAAAUAUCAAUCAAUUUUGAUAGUGUUGGUGUUUCAAUUGUAUUUACUAGUAAUUAAUUCAAAAACUUACCAGGUGUUGUGUCAAAUCAAUAGAUUAGCAUAAAGAGUAAAUAAAAGUGAGAAUACAUGUUGGAUAUAAAAGGUUAUUUGGAAACAUGUGUGCAAACUAUACGGGGGUAAUUUCAUUUGUACCUUUGAGCAAUCUUCAUUAAUCUAAGAAAUUGCAAUGAGUGUAGUGUGUUGAUUCUUCCACUCCGGGGCAGCCAACCUCAUUCUCAAACUCGGCGCUAUGAAAAAAUAAAUUUAUCAUCAAUAUUAAACAUCUUCAACUAAAAUACCUGUAACACCCCUCAAAAUUUUCUCAAAGAUUCGGACCCUUCUUGUGUUCGGGAGGGGGGUUGAACCCGAGUAUCUUGAAGUAUAUUCGUGAGUUAAGAUGAGUCUCUGAGGGACUGAGCAGUGUUAGAGGUGAUGCGGGGUCACCAAGGACCCCUAGGGCCGAGCUUAGUCCAAAAGAUCCAUCGUGACUAAGUUUAGGAUGAGUUCGUAUAAGGGUCGACUUUUAAUGACCCUAUCUUCUGAAGGACGUCAAUCUGGGUGGCCCACGACCUAUCAAAUUAAAGGUCGUCGAGUCUUCUUUCCAACGCCACCAAGAACGUAAAUUUUGGAGUUCGGAAUCAAAAGAUAUGACGAUCCUAAGAUGAACUAGCACGGCAGGAAUUUUAUUUUUGGCCUGGGUUGCAACUGCUGGGGGAAAUAGCCUUGGCACUAUAAGGGUGCGACGCGCCACUAUCGCGCCAGGAACAUGCCUCAGUAGUUUGGUCCCUGGCGCGAUGCGCCACUAAAAGUUGUGUAGGGUUUUUCAGGCCAAUUUUCAAGAAUCCAGAAACUUUGGCCUUGGCGCCAGGAACAUGCCUCAGUAGUUUGGUCUCUGGCGCGGCGCGCCACUACGAGGUGUGCAGGUUUUAGGCGAAUUCAGCCUGGCGCUGCAAUGGCGCGAUGCGCCACUAUCGCGCCAGGUGCAUUUUUAGCCUAUUUUCAGAACUUUUGAGGAGGGGCAAUUUGGGAACUUACCCAAAUUAUAUAUAUGUUACCCUUGGUCUUUUGGGAACACAUUUUGCAGCCUCACCCUCUCUUUAAAAAGCCCUAGCUUCUCUCUCUUUUCUUCUUCUUCUCCAUUCUCAACAAAGAGUUGUCCCAAGAGCUUCAAGAUUUGAGUCCUCCAUUGAAGACCCAACAUCAAGGUUUUCUCCAAGUCUUCACUAAGGUAUGUAAGGCUAUCCAAAACAUGGGUUGAGUCCACCCAUGUGCCCUAUUCUUGCUUUGAGGUUAGAUGUUCAUGAAAAUAGAGUUUCUUGGUAUGGUUUAUGCUUGUAUGAACUUUGUCCCCUAUUUAUUUGAUUCUAUAUGUGUCAAUGUUGUUGAGCUAAGAGGUUCCAAAAAUGAGCCCUUAUGUGAGUAUGAGUUGAUGAAGAAAUGAGUUGUGAAAUAUGUUUUAUCUAUCUUCUUAACUAUGUAGAUUGUGAUAAAGGAUGUUAUUUUCUUGAAAAUGUUGUUCAAUAUGAAAUGUCAAUUUAAAGUCUUGAAAUUGUGAUAAGCCUCAAAAGGUUUCUCAAAUAGAUGAAAGAAAUGAUUGAUUACAUCUAGACGAUGCUACAUAUGUGCAUUUAAAUUUCUUUGAAUGAUAUGCUUGAGAUUGAUCGGAUAGUACGAUUGAGAAAGAUGUGAUUGUGAUAGAGUUGAUGAGAUGACAAGGUUGUAACGAGACUUGUCGAUAUGAGUUGAUUGAGUUGAUUGGAUGGAGUUUUAUGAGCAUUGAGUCUUGGGAGGAGUAUCGAGCACCAAAUUGGGAAAGAGUAUAGUCCAUACUCGAACCCAAUACCUAUGUUGCCAAACGUAGGGGGGAUUGAACCGUUAAAGUCGAAUGCUUCCCCGAGAGAU